AUUGAACGCUGGCGGCAUGCCUUACACAUGCAAGUCGAACGGCAGCGGGGGAGAAGCUUGCUUUUCCUGCCGGCGAGUGGCGAACGGGUGAGUAAUACAUCGGAACGUGCCCUGUAGUGGGGGAUAACUAGUCGAAAGAUUAGCUAAUACCGCAUACGACCUGAGGGUGAAAGUGGGGGACCGCAAGGCCUCAUGCUAUAGGAGCGGCCGAUGUCUGGUUAGCUAGUUGGUGGGGUAAAGGCCUACCAAGGCGACGAUCAGUAGCUGGUCUAAGAGGACGAUCAGCCACACUGGGACUGAGACACGGCCCAGACUCCUACGGGAGGCAGCAGUGGGGAAUUUUGGACAAUGGGCGAAAGCCUGAUCCAGCAAUGCCGCGUGUGUGAAGAAGGCCUUCGGGUUGUAAAGCACUUUUGUCCGGAAAGAAAUGGCUCUGGUUAAUACCUGGGGUCGAUGACGGUACCGGAAGAAUAAGGACCGGCUAACUACGUGCCAGCCGCUGCCGUAA
This 508-nucleotide ribosomal RNA is filed under the name uncultured bacterium. Its description in RNAcentral is "partial 16S ribosomal RNA". It matches the Rfam family "Bacterial small subunit ribosomal RNA", at positions 30 to 523 of the family's 1533-position model. The record is from RNAcentral.